This is a long non-coding RNA of Gallus gallus (chicken), 876 nucleotides long. The record is from Ensembl. NCBI's taxonomy places the organism in Eukaryota, Metazoa, Chordata, Aves, Galliformes, Phasianidae.
GGAUGACUCUUAAAAGUCCCAACUCAGAUGAUUCUGUGACAUCCCUAGGGAAGCCCAGAAGUUGGGAUACUUUCUUCGUUUUCCUCCUGCCAAUGUGCUAUUGGACAGGCUUUCCACCUCCUGUUCUAGAGCUGCACUCGUUUCUUCAAUUUUUCCUACUCCAUCUUUUGUCCAAAUUGCUAAAAGCAGUAGAAGAUAGCAUAUUCCUCUGCUGAGCUGAGCAAUCAUUGUAAUUCCAGGGUUCAACAUUUUAAUUCUCAACUACCUGUUUUUGUUUAGUUAAUGAAAAAAGAGGUGGGGACCUGUUGUGAAGCACUGAAGGAUUUGAGACCCAGAGUACCUUAAACAAAUCUAAGAAAACUUCGUUAAAAAAAGAAAAAGAGAGACCAAAAACCAAGAAGGAAAAAUAGUACUCUUGACUCCAGCCUUGGCAUUGUUGAGGCGACAGAGCUGGUAACAUGCUGGAAACAGGGAUUCCUCAUAGACCACCCAGAAGAACACAUCUCAGGUCUGCUUCGUGGACUCUACGUGCAGACUCCAUUUGGAGGUGCAGAAAUCCUUUUGUGGUACAGUGGGGCCAACAGCAGAACCAAGGAAUGUGGGGAAAACUGCCUCUGCAACAAGAACAUCAGAUCUUUUCUCUCCUCACUGAACAUCCUGCGUUCUCCCCUCAGGACUCAAGAAAAGCUCAGUGGAGAAGGGCAGGAGAGUGUUUAAGGAAGAAUUUGAACAAUGAAGUAACUUUGCUGCUGUUGGCAGAGAACCUUUCUGCAGCCUGAGGAACCAACCGGGAGAAGCCAUGAAAGUGUGUGUUUAAAAAAACACAGUGAAGAGUUCUUGAAGAAAUAACAAGCUUUAAGGAUCGUCCAGUACGCU